GGUUUUGUUUUUUUCAGACGGAGUUUCGCUUUUGUUGCCCAGGCUGGAGUGCAAUGGCGCGUUCUCAGCUCACUGCAACCUCCGCCUCCCUGGCUGAGGCAGGAAAAUUGCUUGGAGGCGGAGGCUGCAGUGAGCCGAGAUCGCGCCACUGCACUCAGGCCUGGGAGACAGAGUGAGACUCUGUCUCAAAAAAACAAAACAAAAAACAAACAGAAAAAAUGGGGGGUAGGGGGUUUGAGGAGCACAAGGCUUGGACCUACUAGACCUGGAGAUUUGGGGAACGAGGGAUGCCAGCCAUGUUCCUUGUACUGUAUGCAAAAGGGAAGUAACAAGUAUUGAAUGUUCACUUACCUCUUUCAUUCCCCAAUAUGAAAUAGAUAUUCCCAUUUGC
Homo sapiens (human) is the source of this 391-nucleotide long non-coding RNA. Ensembl annotates it as long intergenic non-protein coding RNA 2896. Lineage: Eukaryota; Metazoa; Chordata; Mammalia; Primates; Hominidae. The record is from Ensembl.